CCUACGUGAGGCAGCAGUGAGGAAUAUUGGUCAAUGGUCGGGAGACUGAACCAGCCAAGCCGCGUGAGGGAGGAAGGUACAGAGUAUCGUAAACCUCUUUUGUCAGGGCACAAAGACUGGGACGCGUCCCCGGAUGAGUGUACCUGAAGAAAAAGCAUCGGCUAACUCCGUGCCCGCAGCCGCGGUAAUACGGAGGAUGCGAGCGUUAUCCGGUUUUAUUGGGUUUAAAGGGUGCGCAGGCGGUCUGUUAAGUCAGCGGUCAAAGCCCGGGGCUCAACCCCGGCCCGCCGUUGAAACUGGCAGUCUCGAGUUGGAGAGAAGUAUGCGGAAUGCGCGGUGUAGCGGUGAAAUGCAUAGAUAUCGCGCAGAACUCCGAUUGCGAAGGCAGCAUGCCGGCUCCACACUGACGCUGAGGCACGAAAGCGUGGGUAUCGAACAGGAUUAGAUACCCCAGUAGUC
Molecule: ribosomal RNA, 459 nt
Filed under: uncultured bacterium
Lineage: Bacteria
Description: partial 16S ribosomal RNA
Rfam family: Bacterial small subunit ribosomal RNA
Source: RNAcentral